This 368-nucleotide ribosomal RNA is filed under the name uncultured bacterium. RNAcentral describes it as "bacterial SSU rRNA". It matches the Rfam family "Bacterial small subunit ribosomal RNA", at positions 527 to 896 of the family's 1533-position model. The record is from RNAcentral.
GGAGGGUGCAAGCGUUAUUCGGAAUUACUGGGCGUAAAGCGCACGUAGGCGGCUUCGUAAGUCAGGGGUGAAAUCCCACGGCUCAACCGUGGAACUGCCUUUGAAACUGCAAAGCUUGAAUCCUGGAGAGGGUGGCGGAAUUCCUGGUGUAGGAGUGAAAUCCGUAGAUAUCAGGAGGAACACCGGUGGCGAAGGCGGCCACCUGGACAGGCAUUGACGCUGAGGUGCGAAAGUGUGGGGAGCAAACAGGAUUAGAUACCCUGGUAGUCCACACCGUAAACGAUGGAUACUAGGUGUCGGGGACUUGAUCUUCGGUGCCGUAGCUAACGCGUUAAGUAUCCCGCCUGGGGAGUACGGUCGCAAGGCUG